CUGUCGAAAGGUAUUUUCGCGGAACGUGUUUUACGAUAUCGUUGAUUUGACGUCCACGUGUGGUGGUGUGGUGUGGUGUUUUUUCGAGUAAAGGGAUCGUGGCUACAAAAGUCAGUGAUCCUGUUAGCAAAAGAGCCAUGACUACGUGUAAAGAAUGGGCUCGAUCGCAUCGGUGCUGCAGUGGCAUUGCUCGGAGUGCGCUCUGAUAAAUCCAACGGAGAAAACGCGAUGCACUAGGUGUGGCCUUACUCGGCUUAAGAGUGAUGAGAAAGCGAAUUUCAGGCUCAGCCUGAGCUUGGAACACAAAGUUCCAGGGCAAAAGGGGGAAAAAAAGAAAAAGGACAACGAGGAAGGUAAUACUUCCUCAGUGUCCGCUCCGCCAACACCUUCGCUGAAAGUCCGUCUGGAAAAACCAGCAGCGGACGAGACGCGUCCGGCAGUUAACGAAUACGUCAAAACCGAUCUCGUACAUCGCUCAGAAGGAAAUUUAAUUGUACCUAAUAAUCAUAUAAAAAAAUUACAUCAUGAUUUAUGGAAUGGAAGGUCUUAUAAAAAAGAGCCAAUUAAACGAUCUUCUUCUCUACCUACAGUAGUAACACAAUGGACUUGUGUUCGUUGUUUAUCAGAGAACAGUUGCAGUUCUGCUGUAACUUGUGUAGUUUGUGAUGCUAAUUAUUCAAUAUCUAAAACUGACAAAAAACAGAUUGGUGCACGUAAAAGUAGAAAAUUAAAUUUGCGUAAAACAAAUCGUCUCAAAACUACAUCUGAACUUUUAGCAAAUAUUUUUGAUGGUUUUAAUGCAACAAGUACUUCUAUAAAUAAUGCAAGGGAUAUUAAUAAAGAUAUGGCACAAUUAACGAGUAUAAGUCGUAAUGAAAGGAGACAAAUUGAUAGGGAAGAUUGGACUUUACCACCGAUAGAAACCAUGGAUUCUACUACGCUUUCCUAUACAAAUGCCACCAAUACCUCUCAGCGUUCACCAAAAAGACAUAGUCCUUCAAUUUAUGAACGAGUUAAAUCUAAAGUUAGUCGCUCUUUAUCUAAUGGCUCUGUUGUACAUAAAUUAUCUGAACAUUCUACUCAAAGACCAACAAGUUUAGUAGUCUCAGAUUCACAACAAGAUGAUGCUCUUUGGAGUUGUGACAAUUGUACUCUUGACAAUGCUCCUGGCCUAGAACAAUGCGAGGCAUGUGAAGCACCUAGAAGUCCAGCGCCUUGCAGUGGAGUAGUUAUCAGUGUACCUGCUUGGGAACCCCGUGCUUUAUCUUCUGCAAGUGCACUAUCUUAUAGACGAUCUUUUUCCGACAUUGAAUCUGUUGCAAAUGUAGCUGAGAAAAAAAUCGUCAAUCGUAGGAGUCUGAACGAAGAUGAGCCACCAGCCGUACCACCACAUUCGGUUGGUUUUAAUACAAGACCAAAGUACUCUUACAUUGGAAUUACUGAUCCUAAUAUACCACCACCAUUGCCAAAAAAACAAAAUAGUAAACUAGGUCUUGUACCAACAAAAGCACAUAGCGAGGCUGCUAGUCCUGUUGGAGAUGUACCUAAUAUAAGCUCUCUAAAACGCAUGUGGACAUGUCGAAAAUGUUCUUAUGCAUAUAAUCCUGCAUGGACAGCUGGUUGCGAUAUAUGUGAAUCUUCUCGAUCACCUCCUUCGCUAACUCAACCUAGUUUAAUAACUGUCACAAAAGAUGAAACAAGUUGUUCGUUGCAUACACAGUCUCCAAUUGUUGUAUCUAGAGAUAGUGUAAGAUACAUUCCACAAAAAACUGCUACAUUGGCUACAGCAGAAUCUGAUUUAGAUGACCAGAUUGAUCCUCCUUCUCCAAAUUGGACUUGUAAAAAAUGUACACUCUUAAAUGCUGCUUCAAGAUCAACGUGUGAAGCAUGUGGUGGUUCAAAACUUAAAAGUAUUAUGCAUUUGGAAGAUGCAACUUUACGGAAAGGUGAAAGUUGGGUGUGCCCGUCGUGUACCUUAAGAAAUCCGCUAUCAGCACAAACUUGUAAUGCUUGUAAAACAUUAGCAGAUUUUCUAGAUGUACCAAAAGAUAGCAGAUUUUUUGGAUCAAGAAGUCCAAGUCCAAGGCUUUGUUCAACCCCUAUAAAUUCAAAAGUUGUUACCCCAAGACACAAAAAUUCUGUAAGAAGAAAUGGUUCUUCGAUUGGAGAUAAAAGACAUUCAAGAAUUAAAGAUUCCACUCAUGGUCAAUGGCAGUGUAAAAUGUGUACAUAUGAAAAUAAGACUACAAAUGGAAUCUGUGAAAUGUGCCAAAUCUCAAAAAAUGUAUCUCAGCUGAUAGGUGAAAGGCCUAGAAUUAUUGAAUCUGGCACAAGCACACUCACAAUACAACGACAGGAAAGUGUAGUUAUGGAAAAUUUAAGACAACUUGAAGAAAGAGAAGCAUUGGAGAAAUGGGAACGAAUUGUUCAGUACUGCAAAGAGACGAAUGAACCUUUCGUUGAUGACUCAUUUCCACCAGCUCCAAAAUCUCUGUAUUAUAAUCCAGCAGAAACGAAAGACAACCAUGUUGUUCAAUGGAGAAGGCCUCAUCAAAUUAACGUUGACUCUACUGUCGAUUCCAAACUGCCUUGGGCUGUUUUUAGAACACCCUUACCUUCUGAUAUCUCACAAGGUGUAUUAGGAAAUUGUUGGCUACUUUCAGCUUUAGCUGUUUUAGCUGAAAGUGAUGAACUUGUAAAGAGAGUUUUAGUAAUGAGAGAAACAUGCCCAGAAGGAGCUUAUCAAGUAAGAUUGUGUAAAGAUGGAAAAUGGACCACAGUACUUGUUGAUGACUUGUUACCCUGUGAUAAAAGAGGCCAUCUAGUAUAUUCUCAGGCCAAAAGAAAACAACUUUGGGUUCCAUUAAUUGAAAAAGCAGUAGCUAAAAUUCAUGGUUGCUAUGAAGCUUUAGUAUCUGGACGUGCUAUAGAAGGUUUAGCAACACUUACAGGUGCUCCUUGUGAGAGUGUGCCUUUGCAACCAUCUGCUUUGCCAAGUGAAGAUGAACUUGACAGGGAUUUAAUAUGGGCGCAACUUUUGUCUUCAAGGCAAGCUAUGUUUUUAAUGGGUGCUAGUUGUGGAGGUGGCAAUAUGAAGGUUGAUGAAGAGGAAUAUCAACGUAAAGGUUUAAGACCAAGGCAUGCUUACUCCGUUCUUGAUGUGCGAGACGUGCAGGGAAUAAGACUAUUGAGACUGCGUAAUCCUUGGGGUCAUUAUAGUUGGAAGGGUGAUUGGUCUGAUGAUAGUCCUAUAUGGACACCACAGUUACGAGAAAUGCUUAUGCCACAUGGUGCAUCUGACGGUGUUUUUUGGAUUUCCUUCGACGAUGUGUUAAAAUAUUUUGACUGUAUUGAUAUUUGUAAAACUAGAGUGGGAUGGAGUGAAGUUAGAUUACGUGGAACACUUCCACCUCUAUCUUCUCUUCGACAUUUAUCGUGUGUACUUCUGACAGUAUUGGAACCUACUGAAACAGAAUUUACAUUAUUUCAAGAAGGGCAAAGGAAUUCUGAAAAAUCACAACGAUCUCAGUUGGAUUUGUGUGUAGUUGUUUUUCGUACACGUUCGCCAGCAGCGCCAGAAGUGGGAAGGCUAGUAGAACAUAGUAAACGACAAGUACGUGGAUUUGUUGGAUGUCACAAAAUGCUAGAAAGGAAUUUGUAUAUUGUUGUAUGUUUAGCCUUUAAUCAUUGGCAUACAGGAAUGGAAGAUACUUCCAGUUAUCCUGAAUAUGUUCUUGCCAUUCAUAGCUCAAAAAGACUUUUAGUUGAACAAAUUUCUCCACCAGCGUUUGUCUUGGCUGAUGCUAUUAUAAGUCUAACUCUAGCAAAGGGACAGCGGCAUGAAGGAAGGGAAGGAAUGACUGCUUAUUACUUAACUAAAGGCUGGGCUGGACUUGUAGUAAUGGUAGAAAAUCGUCAUGUAAAUAAAUGGAUUCAUGUAAAAUGUGACUGCCAUGAAAGCUAUAAUGUCGUGUCCACUAGAGGACAACUCAGAACUGCCGAUAGUGUUCCCCCGCUUCACAGACAAGUCAUCAUAGUUUUAACACAAUUGGAAGGUAGUGGAGGUUUUUCAAUAGCACAUCGACUUACGCACAGACUAGCUAACAGUGGAAAUUUACAUGACUGGGGUCCGCCAGAUACUGAACAUUGUCCUCAAAUCGACACUGAAGUUGAGGGUUUACACAGCCCUCGUUUAAUCACGUGAACAAAAUAAGUGAUUCACAACAAAUAGGACAAUGUUUAAACGUAUCGUUUGUCAAGUCUUUCUUUACACCUACUAUACAGAGUGUUAAUAUAAGUCAAGAAUCUUUGUAUUGAAUUUACGCGCCAAAAUGAUGAAAAAGUUUGUAUAAUCUUAUAUGUAAGGUUGUUUAAGUACUUAAAAUAUAAAAUACUCGAUUAUUCAACUAAUAUUUUAAACAACUCGAAAAAUAUAAGUUUAUUGUUUUACUUCGAAUUGUUUAAAUUUUGCAAACCAAUCUAGUUUUGAACAAAAUUCUAUUUUUAGAAUUACUCAAAAUCGAGUUUAUAUCAGUUAUUAUCUUUUUAGUACUUAAACAACUUUACUGGUAUCUGCGAAUUUUUUCUUCACGAGUAUGUAAACUAUAUCCGUAAUUACAGACAAAAUUGAAUGAA
RNAcentral lists this unclassified non-coding RNA (4635 nucleotides) under Megachile rotundata (alfalfa leafcutting bee). RNAcentral describes it as "calpain-D-like, transcript variant X3". Lineage: Eukaryota; Metazoa; Arthropoda; Insecta; Hymenoptera; Megachilidae. The record is from RNAcentral.